Molecule: ribosomal RNA, 425 nt
Filed under: uncultured bacterium
Lineage: Bacteria
Description: partial 16S ribosomal RNA
Rfam family: Bacterial small subunit ribosomal RNA
Source: RNAcentral
GUGGGGAAUCUUGCGCAAUGGGCGAAAGCCUGACGCAGCCAUGCCGCGUGAAUGAUGAAGGUCUUAGGAUUGUCAAAUUCUUUCACCGGGGACGAUAAUGACGGAACCCGGAGAAGAAGCUCCGGCUAACUUCGUGCCAGCAGCCGCGGUAAUACGAAGGGGGCUAGCGUUGCUCGGAAUUACUGGGCGUAAAGGGCGCGUAGGCGGACAGCUUAGUCAGAGGUGAAAGCCCAGGGCUCAACCUUGGAAUUGCCUUUGAUACUGGCUGUCUUGAGUUUGGGAGAGGUGAGUGGAACUCCGAGUGUAGAGGUGAAAUUCGUAGAUAUUCGGAAGAACACCAGUGGCGAAGGCGACUCACUGGCCCAAUACUGACGCUGAGGCGCGAAAGCGUGGGGAGCAAACAGGAUUAGAAACCCUAGUAGUCC